This 148-nucleotide transfer RNA is filed under the name Betaproteobacteria bacterium. RNAcentral describes it as "tRNA-Ser". The stretch from base 70 to 148 matches the Rfam family "tRNA". From Rfam's summary of the family: Transfer RNA (tRNA) molecules are approximately 80 nucleotides in length. Their secondary structure includes four short double-helical elements and three loops (D, anti-codon, and T loops). The record is from RNAcentral. Lineage: Bacteria; Pseudomonadati; Pseudomonadota; Betaproteobacteria.
GCGCUGUUAUGCAAAAUUGGCAACCGCCGGCCUAGGAGUUUGUCGGACUUGAGUCCGACAAAUUCCUUUACGUUCGUAAAAACAACCCGUUAGAGUGCAGGACUUGGCUAUGAACCAGGGGUCGCGGGUUCGAAUCCCGCCGGGCGCG